Molecule: long non-coding RNA, 3542 nt
Organism: Tribolium castaneum (red flour beetle)
Lineage: Eukaryota; Metazoa; Arthropoda; Insecta; Coleoptera; Tenebrionidae
Exons: 4
Source: RefSeq, a predicted model, not a curated record
UCAGACUUGUCUUCUUAUUCAGAAAAGAUAUUUAAGAAGUGGAUAUUAUCAUUUGAUUCAGUUGGCUUCCAUGAGUUAUUCGGUAAACAAGUGAGUGAUACCAUUUUUUCAAAUUCUUCUUUACAAAAGAAAUAAAAAUGGAAAAUAAUCUUCCAAAUAAUUAUGUAAAUAAUUAUGACCCAGAAUCUCUAAUUGUUGAUGAACCCUCAGCUUCAACAAAUUUUGAAGACCCUUCAGGCAGUGAAAACAAUGAAGUUGGUCCAGAUGAAAUUUUAUUACAAUUAAAUCAACGAGGUGCAUGUGAAUUGCCUCCACUUAUUAAAAUAGAUUCUCUAAUUCAGAAGAAAGAAUAUAAAAUAAGAAAUCUCAUAAGAUUGAAAACAAAAACAGGAUGGGGCAUUAUAUGCGAAAUUAAUGAGGGUAACUUCUUUGUUCCUCAAAGAAUUGUAUCAACUUUAAAUAACAGAGCCAUAAAAUAUCUGUUAAGUGGAAAAGGUUCCGUAAUAAUUUACUUAGGGAAAAAAAAUACGGGACAGGAGAACUGGGCUAAUAUUGUCGAGUUUAAAAAGAUCACAUAAUUAUGUCUGCUUCCCCGUUAACAACAUUAUCAUCAUCAUCAUCACCACCACCUCCAUCACCAUCAACAUCAGCUUCUUCUUCUUCGACGUCGACUUUCGCAUUAUCAUCUAUAAACUUAGAGAAAUUUAUUGAAAUUUUACGAUGUCCAAAAAAAUAUAAAUUUUUUUUACAAAACGCUAUUUCCGAUUAUGAUUAUGAAACCUUUAAAAAUUUUAUUAGAAACAAGGAAAAAAUUUUAGAAAAUAAUCAACAACAAGCAAUAAGUUUAGGAGAGAAAAAAAAAUAUGAAUACUACAUUUCAAGAAUAAAAACUUUAUUCACGCAUUUUCAAGAAAAAAUAUCCUCUUCAACAAAAUAUGGAAAAGGUUUACAACAAGAUAUACGUCAGAAAAUUUCCUUUGUUAAAAUUUCAUCAGCUUUUAAUAAUCGGCUACGAACUUAUUUAAUCAGCAAUAAUUAUUACAUAGAACCGAAAUAUUUUUUUGAACAUUGCAAGGAAAUUCUAAUUAUCAAAUUUGAAAAAAAUUUACGAAAAUUAGGAGCUUUUAAGAUUAACAUUAUAUUAAAUUGUAUUUAUCAAUUUAAAGUAACUAAAGAACAUGCCUUUCGAAGUUUUAACCCUCAGAAUCAAUCAGUCUUUCACUCUGAAGAAAUUCCUUCAAUUUUAGAAAAUUUAUUUGAUGCUCUAUUAAAUCAGAUGGAUGAUUUCACUGAAAAUAAGUCUGGUGAAACAUUAGAAAGUAUUGAAAAUUUGAAGAUUUCCAUAAACAAAUUAUCGAUAUUUAAUAUAUCGCAAAAUGAAGAAGAAGAUACCACCUCCCAUUCUAGUGACUCUGGGGGAACAUACAUUCCUCUUCCUAUUGAGCUGAAACGAAAAGGUUCUUGUUUUAUUAAUAUUUUUAAUAAGGAUAAUUAUUGUUUUGUUUAUUCUAUUUUGGCUGCACUUUUUCCUGUUAAUCACUCUAAAUAUGAGAGAGUUGAAUCUUAUCCUAGUAAUGUUCAUGAAAUUUUAAACUUAAAAAAUAUUGAAAUGCCUGUUAAAAUAAAAGAUAUUUCCAAAUUUGAAAAACAGAAUCCUACUAUUUCUAUUAAUGUAUUUAAAUUCAACGAAAAAACCCGACAAAUUGACGGUUCUAUUUAUCAUACAAAAAAUGUAAAAGAAAAACAUAUAAAUUUAUUAUAUUUAACUAAAAAUAAUAUUAACACUAAUGGUCAUUAUUGCUUAAUUACUAAUCUUGCAAAAGCAUGUGGAAGCAGCAUAAGUAAAAAUGAGCAUCAAAUAUUUUUUUGUGAUCGUUGUUUACAACAUAUUCCUUCGAAAUCAAAAGAUAAAAUUGAUAGACAUAAACGAGAUUGUUCAACAUUUCCUGCAGUUAAAACAAGCUUACCUGAACCGAAUUCUCCAGGAAGUCUUUUACAUUUUUCACAGUUUAAAUCAUUGCUACGUUUACCAUUUGUUAUAUAUGCAGACUUAUGUUCUUUUGAUAGUAAAUUAGAUAGUUUUAAGACUUAUAGAGGAGUGGUUUAUUUCAGAAUUAAAAGAAAGUUGCAAAUUUGUAAAUAAAAUAUUGUUAAAACAAAAGAAAAUACUAAAUAAACCUUUAUCAGAAUUAGAAAAAGAGUUACAUGAAACAACUAAUAAUUGUAAUUUAUGUGGUUGCAACUUUACAGAUAAUAAUACAAAAGUUAUACAUCAUAACCAUUUAACUGGUGAAUUUAUUUCUACAAUAUGCAAUAAUUGUAAUUUACAAAUUCAAAUUUCAAAUAAGUUGCCAGUUUUUUUACAUAAUUUGUCUGGAUAUGACGCUCACCUUUUUAUUACAGAAUUUAUUAAUAAUUUUUCAGAUAUUGAAAUAAUACCAUUGAAUCAUGAAAAUUAUAUUUCAUUUUCAGGAAUACAUUGUAACAUGAAAAUUACGUUUUUAGAUUCUUUUCGCUUUCUACCUACAUCAUUUGAUAAACUUAAAAAUUACUGCUAUUGCUAGACGACCUUAGUAGAUAGAGAUAGCCGGUUCAAAAACCACCUCCACCUCCCUCUACUGCGCAUGUGUGAAAAUUGUGUCAGUCAGCCGCAGACGCAAGCGCGUAAUCGCAGCUCGCUGGCCUGCGACCAGCUGGUCAGCCGGCCUGCGGCCGACUGACGCCAUUUGUGAUGAUGCAAAUAUAUUUAUGUAGUAUAAUAAUAAUAAUAAUAAUAAUAAUCGUCGCCAUCUUGGAAGUUUGAAAGUCGGCGGCGGUCAUUUUUGUUUAAUGGUAAAUUGGCGCCAAAUUUAAAUUAUUUCAAAAUUAAUAUUUGAAAUUAGUCGGCCAUGUUUGUUUGUUAAAAAAAAUGGCGCCAAAAUUUUAAUUUAUUUAAAAAUUAAUAUUGGGUGUAAUGUUGGUAGCGCCGAUGUCGUCACAAAUUCCGCCUAAAUUCUCACGUUAGAUGGCGCCACGGUCUGCAAACUUUUCGCUAGAUGGCGCUGCCGUCAGCGCAGCCGUCAAUCAAAGAUGGCGCUGGCCUCCAUUUUUUUUUUUUAAACACACCCCCCGCCCGUUUGCGAAUAUGCAACCAAGAAAACAAGUAGUAGUAGUAGUAGUAGCUUUUUGGGGUUGUGAAAUUUUUGGUUUUUGGGGUUGUGAAAUUUUGAAUAUAUGAUUUUUGAAAUGUGCAAUUGUGAAUACAUGAAGUAUAUAUACAAUACAUGCUGUAUUGAGUUAAGCAAAAUAUUAGAAAAUCAUCGCGCUUGUCACUAAUAACUAAUAAAGGAAAGUCAUUAUUUUAUCGAUAAGGAAAAAAAACCUAGUAUAUGUAGUUUUUUAUUUUUGUAAUGUUGUUUGCCUAACUUGUCUGUUGCGCACCAAGUUUAUUUUGUUAUUUGUUUAAAAUAUAAUGCAAAAAAAGUUGUUGUUGUUGUUGUUCCUUCCAUGGGGAGUCGAACCUCAGGUAGGUAGAGUGGAUAGUGCUGUCUAUUUUGGAAACC